GGGCACGGUGGCGCACGCCUGUAGUCCCAGCUACUCCGGAGGCUGAGACAGGAGGAUUGCUUGAGUCCAGGAGUUCUGGGCUGUAGUGCGGAUCAGGUGUCCGCACUAAGUUCGGCAUCAAUAUGGUGACAUCCCGGGGACAGGGCACCACCAGGUUGCCUAAGGAGGGGUGAACCGGUUCAGGUCAGAAACGGAGCAGGUAAAAAUUCCCCGGGCUGAUCAGUAGUGGGAUCGCGCCUGUGAAUAGCCACUGCACUCCAGCCUGGGCAACACAGCGAGAACCCGUCUCUUUAAAAAAAAAAAAGACAAUAACCACUUGUCAACGUUUCCCAGUCCAAUGCUUCUCCCACUCAAAGCAUUGUGAAAGCUGAACACCAAUACUAGGUCCCACGAGUCCUCCUAACACUGGUGGGAACUGAGAAGUCUGGCAGGAACUCCAGUCAGAUGGUCACCUCUUUAUGGAGAGCCAGAGGCAGCCAGGGAGACCAGCAAAGAAAGGAGGAAGCCUAGAAACGUGAACUACUUGCUCUGGACAAGGAAACCCUGCUCUAUCUGUGCUCUCUUACGUCUCUGCCUCCUCGACCUUGCACUAGAGAAGCCCCACUAUGAGGAGACCGAGAGCUGCCCUCCUCUGACCGCGCAUCCUUUUCAAGAGAGAGCAGAAAGCGUUGUCCGGCUUUCCCCAUUAAACAGACGGAGAGAUGUUCUAAGCUGGCCAGGAUUCUGAACGCCCUGCCAACGGUCUUUUCCCAGCAGAUCGGCAGCAGAACAGGCUCUCGCCUGUCAGACCUACCUGAAGUGCCCUCUUUCAUGCAGUCCUAUCUGUCAGCUGGAGGACCAGUUCUGGGAGGUGGACGUUGUUCUUCGGGCUCCAAAGGCCAUAUGCUAAAAAUACUGAUGGCAGAGACGGACACCCGAAGAGCACUUGGCAGUGAGGAUACUGUGCUGUGUGGAGCCUGUCCUUCAGGGGAAGAUCUCCCAGCUGCCCAGUUUCUCAGGAAAGCGAGUGAGUUCUCACUCCCGUGGUGCCGAACUAGUUCCUGGACCAUCAAGUUCUGAGAAGGAGAAAGCAACGCACAGCCUUCACCAACCAGACAUGGCUGCCCAGUCUUGGACUUCUCAGGUUCCAGAGCAAUCAACCAAAAUAAACAAGUGAUUUGG
RNAcentral lists this long non-coding RNA (1161 nucleotides) under Mus musculus (house mouse). Its description in RNAcentral is "predicted gene, 24105 (Gm24105)". The stretch from base 1 to 291 matches the Rfam family "Metazoan signal recognition particle RNA". The record is from RNAcentral. Lineage: Eukaryota; Metazoa; Chordata; Mammalia; Rodentia; Muridae.